Long non-coding RNA from Mauremys reevesii (Reeves's turtle), 596 nucleotides. RefSeq lists it as uncharacterized. Lineage: Eukaryota; Metazoa; Chordata; Testudines; Geoemydidae. The transcript is spliced from 3 exons. The record is from RefSeq and is a predicted model, not a curated record.
GGUGCGGAGCCGCAGCCGGGACUCGCCGAAGUCUGGGAGGGGAGCUCGGACCUGCCUCGGCCGCGCCUCAGCCGGCCCCGGCGCGCGGGACAGGUAGUUGUGUUCCAGUGGGUGAACAGACUCUGAGUUGAUGAAAAUUGGCACUGAAGUCAAGACAGCUAUGAAAAUUUACCCCAGCUGAGGAUUGCUGGAAGGAAUGGCUGAGGGCUAUCCAUGCUCUACCACUGAUUCACUGCAUGAUAUGAAUGUUUCUUUCAGAACACAAGCCAGCUGCUACGUCUGAUGAAGUGGGUACAGGAAGAAAGAAAGAAAGAGACGCUGCACUCAAAAGGGUGGCAAGCAAACAUACAAGUAUCAGCAGGAAUAAUAGCCCACUUUCAGACCCUCAGCUCCUGCUAGCUCAUCCCACUUCAGACUGCGUCAGAUAGUAUUAACUAAAGGGGUCAGACACAACACCAUCACAGCUCUGUUGUGUUUUAGUUCCAUCUUUGGGAAUUAGCUUCAUCAGUGAUCAUGUGAGCAGAGAUCAAACAGAGAACAAGUUUUGUUAGUUAAGUUGUGCUCUUUUGGCCAGCUGGAUGGCUCCUUCCUCAGCA